Long non-coding RNA from Cryptotermes secundus, 191 nucleotides. RefSeq lists it as uncharacterized. The transcript is spliced from 2 exons. NCBI's taxonomy places the organism in Eukaryota, Metazoa, Arthropoda, Insecta, Blattodea, Kalotermitidae. The record is from RefSeq and is a predicted model, not a curated record.
ACAUCUUCUCUGUUCUGAUCCAUUUGGUAGUUAUGUGUUACAGAAUUUACUGUUGAAUGCCUCAGAAAGACGACUGAUUUCAGGUGCGCAGUCAAAGGAACCGGAGUUCACAGAUUGGGUUUUAAAAGUUAGUAAGUUUGUACUAAACAAUUUGGAGGACUUUGUUUGGAAUAAAUAUGCCAAUCAUGUAA